RNAcentral lists this ribosomal RNA (414 nucleotides) under Campylobacter fetus subsp. testudinum. RNAcentral describes it as "bacterial LSU rRNA". It matches the Rfam family "Bacterial large subunit ribosomal RNA", at positions 1805 to 2219 of the family's 2925-position model. Lineage: Bacteria; Pseudomonadati; Campylobacterota; Epsilonproteobacteria; Campylobacterales; Campylobacteraceae. The record is from RNAcentral.
UACCAUAAACACAGCACUCUGCUAACACGUAAGUGGAUGUAUAGGGUGUGACGCCUGCCCGGUGCUCGAAGGUUAAUUGAUGAUGUUAGCUAUGCGAAGCAUUUGAUCGAAGCCCGAGUAAACGGCGGCCGUAACUAUAACGGUCCUAAGGUAGCGAAAUUCCUUGUCGGUUAAAUACCGACCUGCAUGAAUGGCGUAACGAGAUGGGAGCUGUCUCAAAGAGGGAUCCAGUGAAAUUGUAGUGGAGGUGAAAAUUCCUCCUACCCGCGGCAAGACGGAAAGACCCCGUGGACCUUUACUACAGCUUGACACUGCUACUUGGAUAAAGAUGCGCAGGAUAGGUGGGAGGCUUUGAUCCAUAGACCCUGGUUUAUGGUGAGCCAUUGUUGAGAUACCACUCUUCUUUAUUCGGGU